GCUGUCUCCUUGCCAACCAGCAGCUCCCUUGGUAGGGGCAUGCAGAAGACCUGAUGACACAAACCCUCCAAAGAGUUUCACCCUCACCACAACAGGUGGCUUCCUGCUCGGCAGCCCAUCCUGCAUCACUUCAGUGGACUUCUCUGACAUCUACUAGACCACAUUAAAUGAAUCACAGCCUUGAAACUGAACUGGAAGGACUUCCUUCAAGAUUUUUAUCUAAUUCCUGUUGGACAGUGUAAAAUGCCACUUCUUCCAGGGUUGCCUGCAUAUCAUCAAAAGGGAAAUAGUACUCAUCGAAGAUGUGCCUUUGCUAGGAACUAGGACAAGGGUGGCCUUUAUAAAUUCAUGAAGAGAAGGAGCCAGCAUAUGAACUUGCUGCCUAUCUUUAGCAAGGAGAUGCAAAUGACAUCCACAAACCUCUUCUGCUGUAUACCUGGAUGAAAGCAAGGCUAGCUGUGUGUCCUAUGGCACCAAGGACUGAAAGAUUGUAAGAAGUAAGAGGGAAAGUGAUCCAAAAAGGUGGAACACCUAAUGUACAGCCCCAAGGAAGGAGCAUACUUGGAGAAUUCAAGGAACAGAAAGAAAAACAGGAAGGCUGGAGUGAAACUGAUUAAAUAAAGCAUCGUAACAUUAGAGGUCCAUCAUAGAGGCCAAGCCAAAUACAACUAUGUUUUCAAGCAUAAGAUGGAUAGAUGUGGUAAACCACAAGAAGCAAACAGCCCUUUAGAGGUGUGGAUUGACCUUGCAGAGUUACAAGUGGAGCCAGGAGAAAUCAUGUUGAGUGGGACUUCUCAUCCUACCUAAGAGAGACUAACAGAUGGAAAGCUGGGUACAGAAGGGAGAGAAGGCAGUAACAGUCAGAUUUCAAUACGCUGAGACUGUGACGUGGGACUUUUGAGUGAGUAACAUCUGCUCCUAGAACUGAGUUGAGUGGGGAUCCUCCCACACCACCCAGGCAAGAGAACUAACAAUUGAUGACUGCUCCAAAUCAGUCGCCAGUCUACCUAAUACUUCUACCUGGUAGGUAGCCUGAUACCCACUAACAUCAGACAGAGCCUCACUCUGUCACCCAGGCUGGAGUGCUAGAGUGCAGUGGCAUGAUCAUAGCUCCCUGAAGCCUUGAGCUCCUGGUCCCAAGAGAUCCUCUUGCCUCAGCUUUGCCAGAAGUGCUCUUCCUCUCUGUCCAGUGGGCAAGCACCAAUUCAUUUUCAAACUCUCCACUGAAGCAUCAAUUUUCUGUAAUGCCUUUCUUGACCUCAGAUGUGAUGCCAGAAGUAGAGCAGCCAUCUUGCAACCACAAAGCAACAGCAUGAGUAUGAAAGUUAGUGCAUUAAGGAUGCUGGAAUAGAAUGAUUGAAAGCCAGAUGCCUAAUGACGUUGCUGAAUAGCUGAAACAAUACCAGCAACUAGCUGGUCUUGCUCUGUUGCCUGGCCUGAAGUGCAGUGGCAUGAUCAUGGCUCACUGCAGCCUCAACCUCCCAGGCACAAGUGAUCCUCCCACCUCAACUUCCAGAAUAUAGAAGCUGGAACUACAGUGACCUACAUCCAAAGUGAAAAGUUAUUCAGCCUCUGAAGAGAAGCAUUUUGUUUGGGGAUCUUCAAGUAUGCUUGUCAGCACCGAGAACUGGAAAAAAAUCUCUGAUUGUCCUGCAGCAAUGGCAUUAAAGGCUCCUCAUAACAUACAGAACCAGAAUUGUGCCAUAAUUUACUGAAAUUGAACAUUGCUCUGUGACUGCUAAUUUUCCAUCGAGAUGAUUCUGUCUCUAACCAAGAAAAGAAAAGUUUGUCUUCCUGACUGCUGACACUGCUGACCAAGCCCACCACCAGAUGCCUGGCUGCACACCCAGAGGGCAGCCGCUUCCCGUGGUCCUCUCGAAGAACUUCCCUUUUGCAAUGCAUGUUUAGCAAGUGGAUGAGUUUGUCUUUUCUGAUUUCUCUGCAAGCUCUGCAUUGCCCACCUGAACCAGUGCUUCAGAAGAACUAAUGGGAUCUCUGACCCUCCAACAUCCUCUUCCAGACUUUCACUUUCCUGGCUCCUUGCAGGGACAUGUAAUAAACGUGCUCUCCAGAGAAAGCCUGA
This 2083-nucleotide long non-coding RNA is filed under the name Homo sapiens (human). Its description in RNAcentral is "HSALNT0373501". The record is from RNAcentral. Lineage: Eukaryota; Metazoa; Chordata; Mammalia; Primates; Hominidae.